CAGGUCGUAGACCCGAAACCAGGUGAUCUACCCAUGUCCAGGAUGAAGGUAAGGUAAUACUUACUGGAGGUCCGAACCCACGCACGUUGAAAAGUGCGGGGAUGAGGUGUGGGUAGCGGAGAAAUUCCAAUCGAACUUGGAGAUAGCUGGUUCUCUCCGAAAUAGCUUUAGGGCUAGCCUCGAGGUAAAGAGUCAUGGAGGUAGAGCACUGUUUGGACUAGGGGCCCUUCUCGGGUUACCGAAUUCAGAUAAACUCCGAAUGCCAUGUACUUAUACUCGGGAGUCAGACUGCGAGUGAUAAGAUCCGUAGUCGAAAGGGAAACAGCCCAGACCACCAGUUAAGGUCCCCAAAUAUAUGUUAAGUGGAAAAGGAUGUGGGGUUGCUUAGACAACCAGGAUGUUGGCUUAGAAGCAGCCACCAUUGAAAGAGUGCGUAAUAGCUCACUGGUCGAGUGACCCCGCGCCGAAAAUGUACCGGGGCUAAACAUAUUACCGAAACUGUGGAUGAACCUCUUUAGAGGUUCGUGGUAGGAGAGCGUUCUAAGGGCGGUGAAGUCAGACCGGAAGGACUGGUGGAGCGCUUAGAAGUGAGAAUGCCGGUAUGAGUAGCGAAAGAAGGGUGAGAAUCCCUUCCACCGAAUAUCUAAGGUUUCCUGAGGAAGGCUCGUCCGCUCAGGGUUAGUCGGGACCUAAGCCGAGGCCGAUAGGCGUAGGCGAUGGACAACAGGUAGAGAUUCCUGUACCAGUGCUAAUUGUUUAACCGAUGGGGUGACACAGAAGGAUAGGGAAUCGCACGAAUGGAAAUGUGCGUCCAAGCAGUGAGUGUGAG
RNAcentral lists this ribosomal RNA (829 nucleotides) under Listeria monocytogenes. RNAcentral's name for it is "partial 23S ribosomal RNA". It matches the Rfam family "Bacterial large subunit ribosomal RNA", at positions 703 to 1529 of the family's 2925-position model. The record is from RNAcentral. Lineage: Bacteria; Bacillati; Bacillota; Bacilli; Caryophanales; Listeriaceae.